This 465-nucleotide ribosomal RNA is filed under the name Vreelandella stevensii. RNAcentral describes it as "partial 16S ribosomal RNA". It matches the Rfam family "Bacterial small subunit ribosomal RNA", at positions 338 to 795 of the family's 1533-position model. The record is from RNAcentral. Lineage: Bacteria; Pseudomonadati; Pseudomonadota; Gammaproteobacteria; Oceanospirillales; Halomonadaceae.
CCUACGGGAGGCUGCAGUGGGGAAUAGUGGACAAUGGGGGCAACCCUGAUCCAGCCAUGCCGCGUGUGUGAAGAAGGCCCUCGGGUUGUAAAGCACUUUCAGUGAGGAAGAACGCCUGGUGGUUAAUACCCAUCAGGAAAGACAUCACUCACAGAAGAAGCACCGGCUAACUCCGUGCCAGCAGCCGCGGUAAUACGGAGGGUGCGAGCGUUAAUCGGAAUUACUGGGCGUAAAGCGCGCGUAGGUGGCUUGAUAAGCCGGUUGUGAAAGCCCCGGGCUCAACCUGGGAACGGCAUCCGGAACUGUCAAGCUAGAGUGCAGGAGAGGAAGGUAGAAUUCCCGGUGUAGCGGUGAAAUGCGUAGAGAUCGGGAGGAAUACCAGUGGCGAAGGCGGCCUUCUGGACUGACACUGACACUGAGGUGCGAAAGCGUGGGUAGCAAACAGGAUUAGAUACCCGUGUAGUC